UACGUAGGCGGCAAGCGUUGUUCGGAAUUACUGGGCGUAAAGAGUGUGUAGGCGGUGCUCUAAGUUUGGUGUGAAAUCUCCCGGCUCAACUGGGAGGGUGCGCCGAAAACUGGAAUGCUUGAACAUGGGAGAGGAAAGCGGAAUUCCUGGUGUAGCGGUGAAAUGCGUAGAUAUCAGGAGGAACACCUGCGGUGUAGACGGCUUUCUGGACCAUUGUUGACGCUGAGACACGAAAGCGUGGGUAGCAAACAGG
This 253-nucleotide ribosomal RNA is filed under the name uncultured bacterium. RNAcentral describes it as "partial 16S ribosomal RNA". It matches the Rfam family "Bacterial small subunit ribosomal RNA", at positions 524 to 776 of the family's 1533-position model. The record is from RNAcentral.